RNAcentral lists this long non-coding RNA (1212 nucleotides) under Homo sapiens (human). Its description in RNAcentral is "HSALNT0065970". The record is from RNAcentral. Lineage: Eukaryota; Metazoa; Chordata; Mammalia; Primates; Hominidae.
AGAUAAACAGCAAGGGAUAACAGAAGUGUAGGAUUGAUUGUGAGCUUCUCCCCCCAAACUCAGAAAAACUGCCAGAAGCUCAGAAAAGUAAGCUGCUUGCUCAAGAAUGGACGGCUUCAAGGUGGCAGAGCUGGAAGUUUCUAACUCACUCACCUCAUACUCAGACCUGCACUGUUUUUCAAGACAGUCAAUAUUUCAGGGUUCCCAGACUUUCACUGGGAGGGCAGUCUGCUGGAGAAUUCUAUCUAGCUUGUGAGGCUGAUGUUUUUCUUCCAUUCAGGCCAUCUACUGAUUGGAUGAGGCCCACCAGCAUUCUGAAAGACAAGGAAUCUGAGACCUGGCUGGGAGAAGAGGACUUGCCUAAAGUUAUCCCACACAGCAAAUUAGUUGGAAAACCAGGAUAGUUGAGUAAAUAUCCUGGAGCCCAGCCAAGUAAUGAAGCCAGAAUUCAGAAAGCUGUUUUGGCUAGAUCUUGGAUUUUUACAAUAAAGGGUCUGUAAGGGAUAUUUGUGAAAAAUGUUGACACUUGACGGCUGUCCUGAUUCAUUCAGCUACCUAGGUUAUCUCUGCCUCUCUUUGACUUGUGUUUUGUCUUUUAAGAUGGCAGUCUUGCUCUUUUGCCUGGGCUGGUCUUGAACUCCUGGGCUCAAGCAGUUUUCCUGCUUUAGCCUCCUGAGUAGCUGGGGCUACAGGAGGACAUCACUGUGCCCAGCUCUCUCCGUAUCUUUGACUAGGUUAUUUUACAACCCCAUACGAUAGAAAUGAAGUUAUAGAAAACUGAUAGGAAUACAAAUAAUUAUUAUCCAUGGAAAUGCAAAUUGGAUCUAAUGGAAUGAAACUGAUUUUUUUUCCAGCAGAUAGUGACCACCUUUGUAUCCUUUUGUAAAUUCAUUUCAGCAUUCCAUAUUUGACUAAAAAUGUGUGACACUCCCAAUUUGCUUUUGAAUUCAUUGUAAUAUCUACCAAUUCCCUCAUUAAUUAAUGAGUUAAAUAAAGCCUUUGGCAUGUAUUUAUUUUGUAUCUAUAGGAGAGUCAUGAGUAUAUCUUCUUUUAAAAGGUAUUCUUCAGUAGGUCUUAGGGUGCACAAUACUUACAUCUUAUUUUCUCAUUCUACACUGUUCCCACACCUCACCCAGAAUAAAUGUAAUCUCCUGUGAGCUUCUGAACAUCAUGAAGAAUAACAGCUCAUUUUGUAAAGUCAUUUAGUAUUCG